UACGGAGGGUGCAAGCGUUAAUCGGAUUUAUUGGGCGUAAAGUGCGCGUAGGCGGACUGGAAAGUCAGAUGUGAAAUUUCGUGGCUCAACCACGGAGCUGCAUUUGAAACUUCCAGACUAGAGGAUAGAGCGGGGGAAGCGGAAUUCCACGUGUAGCGGUGAAAUGCGUAGAUAUGUGGAGGAACACCGGUGGCGAAGGCGGCUUUCUAGCCUAUUCCUGACGCUGAGGCGCGAAAGCGUGGGGAGCAAACAGG
This 254-nucleotide ribosomal RNA is filed under the name uncultured bacterium. RNAcentral describes it as "partial 16S ribosomal RNA". It matches the Rfam family "Bacterial small subunit ribosomal RNA", at positions 524 to 776 of the family's 1533-position model. The record is from RNAcentral.